ACGGUGCGACUUCAAACAAGUGUGGCGUGUCGCUUUGCAUGCAUGGCCGUCUUGACACGUACCCUAAAACAUAAAUGUCACCUUCUCGUCUGCUUCUCUCUCUCGUCAGGUUGUAAUUGUUUCCCCAGUUCACAAUUUUUUAUCCGAGCUACAGAAAUGGCGCCAUCCGAGUCGCACAAGUUGAGGAAUUGGGUGCAUUCUUGGUAAUUUUAUUCACUUGUGUAUAUAUUUUUUUUCCAUUUGUACCCAAAAAAAUUAUUAUAUUGCGAUUGAUUGUCCCCAUUAAUUUCUCUUCACAUGAAGUCCCAUCUCUGUUUCUCCUUCAGAUAGCUCCUAUUUUUGGGUGGGGGGAUUGGAGGAAUAAUUUUAUUUUCUGAAAAUUGAAAAUGAUGGUGGUUUGGGGAUCGACAAUUAAAUAAUUUAAAUUCAUUUCUUGUAAAAUCAAAUUUGAUUUUCCACUGCACGAUUUGUUUUUGAUGAUAAGGAGGUGAUGGUCAUCAUGAGUUAGUUUUUAAUUUUGUUUGAACGAAGAUGGUUAUCAUGAGUUAGUAGUAUUUCUCGAUUAACGAGUCAAGAACAGCUUUAAUAAUGGGGCCUUGAGUGGCAAUGCCAUAAAUGAUUAAACAGACUCCAUGUGAUUUCUCUGCAACACCAGGUAAAUAAAACACAAUUAUUAUUAUUAAAUAAAUAAAUAAAAGAAUUUUAAUGUACCUUUGCUGUGGAUAAAGCAAAGUUUGACUCUAGUUAAUUACUUUCUUUCUCUGGCAAAGUACUUCAGCUAUUAAGUCUUUUUGGCUGGGUGCAGUGGCCGUCUGUGUUUGUCAUUUUUUUUUUUUUUUUUUUUUUUCUGCAAUUGUCUUUUCUUUUUCCUUUUUUUCUAGGGAUUUUAACUUAAAAUCAGGGAUUGUACGAAACCGAGAGUAUUAGGGUUGGUGAAAAGGAGGCAGUGCACAAGAAGGCUACAAGUAAUAACAAUGUGAAAACAGUAGUGGCGCCAGCAGUCCAAGAAGGCUUGCAUUUGCGCACCAACCACACAUGCUGGCUCGUUCAAGUGCCAUCUCCAUCGAGCCAAAUCAUCCGUUCCGAACCCACCGGGAUCUGCUUUUGUUAUUAGCAGCACCAAAUCUCAGCUGUCUUGUUUUGGUAGGGUUCCAUUUCAAGAGAACUGCUUUUGCCACAGUCUCUCUCGUGGUUUUAUUUCCUUUGAGGAUGUAAAUAUCAGCAGUUAUGUACAUAAAUAAAUUUUCUCUGAUUUCAGUUGACCAAUGUAACAAUUUACUUUUUGUAGAAAUGAAAUGUAG
RNAcentral lists this long non-coding RNA (1301 nucleotides) under Carica papaya (papaya). RNAcentral describes it as "long non-coding RNA (CPAP_LNC012110)". Lineage: Eukaryota; Viridiplantae; Streptophyta; Magnoliopsida; Brassicales; Caricaceae. The record is from RNAcentral.